RNAcentral lists this long non-coding RNA (725 nucleotides) under Homo sapiens (human). RNAcentral describes it as "HSALNT0326664". The record is from RNAcentral. Lineage: Eukaryota; Metazoa; Chordata; Mammalia; Primates; Hominidae.
CCAACAGCGAAGUCGAAGUCGUGGUCAGGAGUAAGACUGAGCUGGGUAGAGAUAGUAAGGAAGCUGAACCCCAUCCUAACUGAUGUAAAAGAGACAGGCCAAGGCUGUCUUUGGAACGGAAAAAGAACAAGAUUUUCAGAUUUUCACAUGAUUUUCAUAACAGAAGCUUUGGAUGAGGGGCACUGGAUAGCUGGGGAAGACGCAAGAGGGAGAAUUGCUUUACAACCCUUUGGUAUGUGUUGAGAUCUAACUCACAAAUGUGCAAAUGUGUUACCUUUCUACAUGUGUCCACACAAGGCAUGGCCAUUUUCCCUGUUCCCUCACCAAGAUUUUGGUUCAGUAGGUCUGGGGUGGAGAUUGAAUGCCUGAUUUAAAAACAAUCACACAAACAAACUCCUCACAGGUAUUUGCCACACACUAGUUAAGAAUCCUUGCUAGUGGAAAUAGUAAUAUUCUUGCUCCAAUCUGGUACAUACCACACAUAUUUGCUGGGGAGAUGAGAAGGCACAUAUUUGUACUUGAUGAUUACUUGAAGAGGGGAGAAGCAGAAUGUUUUCACAGCUCAGAAAUCUCAAAUCCAGUGCACUUUGGGAGAAAAGGUGGCUCUAAUCACUCAUUUUAUUCUCACCCUGCCUUCUAGGCUAUUGUCACUCCAGUUCCUAGCUUAAAACUGUACGGGACAUUUCCAGUAUAGAGCCUGCUGAGAAUGAACAUGAAAUCAAGGA